CAGCAGCCGCGGGAAUACAGAGGGUGCGAGCGUUAAUCGGAUUUACUGGGCGUAAAGCGUGCGUAGGCGGCUUCUUAAGUCGGAUGUGAAAUCCCUGAGCUUAACUUAGGAAUUGCAUUCGAUACUGGGAAGCUAGAGUAUGGGAGAGGAUGGUAGAAUUCCAGGUGUAGCGGUGAAAUGCGUAGAGAUCUGGAGGAAUACCGAUGGCGAAGGCAGCCAUCUGGCCUAAUACUGACGCUGAGGUACGAAAGCAUGGGGAGCAAACAGGAUUAGAUACCCCUGUAGUCCCUGUCUCUUAUCU
Molecule: ribosomal RNA, 301 nt
Filed under: uncultured bacterium
Lineage: Bacteria
Description: partial 16S ribosomal RNA
Rfam family: Bacterial small subunit ribosomal RNA
Source: RNAcentral